UCACUUGACGCUUUGCUCCUCAGCAGCGGCAGAGAGCUUGUACUUGAGGUAGGCUCUGAUGAAGGUGUCCAGCUCGCCGUCCAUGACGCCGGUGAUGUCCGACGUCUCGCAGGCGGUGCGGACGUCCUUGACGAGCUUGUAGGGGUGGAAGACGUAGUUGCGGAUCUGCUGCCCCCACUCCGCCUUCACCGCGUCGCCGCGGAUCUGCUUGAUCUCCGACGCCCGCUGCUCCUCGGCGAUCACCAGCAGCUUCGCCUUCAGCCGGCUCAGGGCCUUUAUCUUGUUGGCCAACUGGCUCCUCUCCUCUGCGCAACGAACAGCGAUGCCCGUGGGUAUAUGGACCAUGCGAACAGCCGUCUCCACCUUGUUCACAUUCUGGCCUCCUUUGCCGCCUGCUCUAGUGAAGCUUAUCUCCAGAUCCUCUUCGGGUAUUUCUACAUCCAUGGACUCUUCUGGCAGUAGAGGCAUUACUUCAACACCAGCAAAGCUUGUCUGCCUAAGCCCUUUAGCAUUGAAUGGGGACUGACGAACAAUUCUGUGUGUCCCUUUCUCCCCAGAGAGAUACCCAUAGGCAUAUCUUCCUUCUAAUUCAAUGGUAGCUGAUUUUAUUCCAGCUUCUUCACCAGGGGAUUUCUCAACCACUCUUGUCUUGUACCGCUGCUUCUCUCCCCACCUAACAUACAUCCUCAGUAACAUUGAAAGCAUACCUGGGCAUCGGUGCCACCAGCACCUGCAGUAAUAUUAAUCACAGCACCUUCCUUGUCAUAAGGUCCAGAAAGAAGCUGUGUCAUCUCAAAGUUAUCUAGUGCUUUGUUUAAUGCCUUUAUGAUCUUUGAGGCUUCUUCAAGAAGGCCAGUAUCUAUGGAAUCUAACUCCUCAGUAAGCUUUACAAUGAAUAUCAAGUUGGUUAAACCUGCAACUUCAAAUCGUUGAGAAGCUUGACUCUGUCUUUGACCUCUGUCAGAGCAACAAGUAUCUCCUGUGCCUUGGAAGGAUCAUCCCACAAGGAACUAUCUGCAGAUUUCUUCUCGAGCGAAGCGAUUUCCUCCUCAAGCUGAUCCAAACCAGCAGACUGCCUGACUUCACUGACGCGCGCUACAGCCAGCUCGACAUCCUUCCGCAAAGCGUAGAAAUCCUGCAUGGCCCAUUCGGUAGCCUCCGAACUUUCUGCAACGCUUGAUUGGCUUCCUGACCCAGAGGAUGCAGAUUGCACUGUGACCUGCGGCGGUGGCUGACACGGCAAUAUACGGGUACGGGAGGGACUCCGGCGGUGCAGACCCUCCGGUGAGCGGCGGAGCUGGGGUACGGAGAGGCGCGCGCGGCCGCCAGGAGCAGCCGCGGGCAGUCAAUCAUUGCCGCACUUCGGCUACAGGACAUGGAGCGGGAGUGGGCGAAGAUGGCCACCGGUAGGCGACGCGCCGACGAGGGUGUGGGGCUGGGGCGGCGGCGGCGGCUCGCCGGCGAGCGGAGCGGGGCGGAGAGGAGGCGA
RNAcentral lists this small RNA (1489 nucleotides) under Oryza sativa Japonica Group (Japanese rice). RNAcentral's name for it is "sRNA Os07g0546650". Lineage: Eukaryota; Viridiplantae; Streptophyta; Magnoliopsida; Poales; Poaceae. The record is from RNAcentral.